GACCAUUGGUGCUGACCUUUGCCUGGUU
Molecule: non-coding RNA, 28 nt
Filed under: Homo sapiens (human)
Lineage: Eukaryota; Metazoa; Chordata; Mammalia; Primates; Hominidae
Source: RNAcentral